CUAACACGGUGUUUCUGGUCAGCCGCGAAGUUGUCCUCCUUCUACGUCUUCUUUGUUAGCUCCGCCUGUAGGGUAGGUCACCGUGCCGGAGUGGCCGGUGCCGUCGUCGUCCAGGAACCACAGAGGUCCACCUCGCCGGAGCAGUGGCAUGUGGUGCCCGUCGAUGCCUCCCCGGCGCUAGGCGCCUAGGCCGUCAGCAUCCAGAUAAGAUCACAGCCUGCCCCGUGCCGCGUUACCUCAAUUUUAUUCGCCGUCUCUCUCUCUCUUUCUCUCUUUCACAGGUGCUCGGUUCAUUGAGGAGUAGUGCCAUCAAGCAUCACGCCUUGCCAGCUGCGGAGAACAAGGGCGAGCUCAACUCCAUGUUCACCAUCCCCUGCAGGAAUAAGCUGAGCGUGACUUUCCCCAUCACUUUCUCCCUCUCAUUUGAUUUCUUUCUCUGUGUCUCACUCGACCCCAAGCUCCUCUUAUUCUCUUCCAUGGCGCGUGGGUGAUGACCAGGAUGAGCGGCAACAGAUGACCGCUGCCUUACCCUCAUUGUGUCGCCACGCCCAGGCAGUCACACCAAGCUGCAGUAGAUGGGCGCGACAAGUACGGAGAGCAGAUCCCCGUUGAGCAGCGCCAGUCAUGUACUCCUACAUCCUCUCAAGUUGUGUGCUGAUUCUUUGCUCAGAUCUUAUUUUUGUAUCUAAUUUUGAUAUUUUCAAAAAGCCAUCUGUUUGUCAUGAUUACAGCUUUACCGCUGGCAUGGAGACUGAGGUAAAGAAAGGCUAAUUAGCAAAGAAACAAGGUAACCAAAUAGCUGCAAGGGAAAUCAAUAACAUGGGCUUCACCAAAACGGGUUAUCAGCUUAUUUAGAGUUCUUACCCUCUCACAGUAACAUGGGCUUAGCAAAAAACGGGUUAUCAAUUUUUCAGUGUUAUUAACCUUACCCUCAAAUCUAAGUACAAAAAUGUAAUACAGAAAACAUAUAUGCUUGAAAUCAUACUAAGGGAUACUCCGAAAUCAGAUUUAGGCGGACUGUUUAUUUUCUACCCAAGUAAGAAGGUACUGACAUGAAUUGUCAACACAUUUAAACGAUGCAACUGUUUAUAGGGAGAGAUUCAAAAAUACCAAUUCAAGGUCAACAUAACUUUAUUGAACACCUCUUCAUCAUGUCACUACAUAAAUUACAAAUUAUGAUUAAAUAAUUAGUGAAUAGCAAGCACUGGAUUGGAUUCCCAAACAACCAUCCACCCCGUGUAAAUUAGACUAAAAUGUUGAGCAUUUAAAUAUAAUUGAUAACUAUAAUUUCUACAUGCAUUGUCGUUUCUUAUUCUACAAAAUUAUUUGGUACAGUAACAACACUACCAACCACACAAUUUAUACGCAUACGAUAGAUUGUUAUCACCAACGAUUGCUCCACCAAGAGGUGAGAGCAGAAGCACGACAAAUGGACACAGAGAUAGGGGAUGCGGACGUACCAUGGUUGUGGGAAUGAGUACGACAUAACCAACUCAACCAGUCACCCACUCCACUUCCAUUUUCUUCUACUGGUAUAUUCCCAGCAUCUCCCGUUUGCGUCUUGCAUUCAUCCACCCAUAGCCUGUGCUUCAACUGGACCACUCAUUUAUUAUCUUCUGAUGGUGAUUUCUCCCUUUUUCUGAACUGGGAGUUUCCCGUGCACACCUGCUUCGUGAAACACAAGCAGGUUAGCUAGCUCUAGCUGCUCCAUUUGACUUACAUAAUGGUAAUUUGCUCCUAAACUUGCUUAUGGGACAAAGCGCAAUACGUAAAUAAGGUCCAACAUUCUGUCCUAAGGAGGAAAGUCGAGCAACUUGCGGUUCAGCUUUGUGAUCUUCUAAAGUAUAUGGAACGCACAUUCUUAAGAAGUCUGGGUCGUCUCCUUGCGUCGAAUAGAUGUCUCCAGUUCAAAGACCAAAGAAGCAUCGGUCUUCACAUCAAAGCUGCAUGGUCCAUCUUUGAUGCCUAUCUAAAUGUAAACUUGUGGUACUUUGCAAGGUAUAGCAUGGCCUGCCCACAGUUGCAGGUCUCCAGUCCAUGCAGGUCUCCAAGAACUUUGGAAGGAAAGGGAGAAUUCUGAAAAUAAGGACACACGUGAGCCUGAUGCUGUCACACAAGCUGAGCUUGCCGAGAAGAUGAUUCUGCUAAGAAGAAAGUGAGAGACCUCACGACUGAAGUAGAUGUACGGUUUAAGCAGGAUAAGCUUCUCUAUGAAGAUCUGCUUGACAUGUUUCUUUGAACAUUUAUUUCCUCAAUUGCAGAAUCUUACAUAUUACUACAGGUUGUUAAACGAGUUUAUUUAUCUUGCUUUCUUUGAA
Lolium rigidum is the source of this 2318-nucleotide long non-coding RNA. RefSeq lists it as uncharacterized. The record is from RefSeq and is a predicted model, not a curated record. The transcript is spliced from 2 exons. Lineage: Eukaryota; Viridiplantae; Streptophyta; Magnoliopsida; Poales; Poaceae.